AUGGCCCCACCUGCGCAAUGCUUGGACACGGUCACCGGUGCAACCGGCCAGAAUGGCACCGUGCCAGUGAUAGGGCACACGCCGGAGAAGAAGAUGCAAAGCCCCAACCUGCUUGACGCCGACGAGUUCCGGCGCCAGGGUCACCAGGUAAUCGACUUCAUAGCCGAGUACUAUGGCGGCAUGGGUGACUACCCCGUGCACCCCAGCGUCACCCCCGGCUUCCUCCGCAACCGGCUUCCCUCGGAGGCGCCGUCCCGUCCGGAGCCGGACGCGUUCAGCUCCGCGCUCAAGGACGUCCGCGACAUCAUCCUCCCAGGCAUGACGCACUGGCAGAGCCCCCGCCACUUCGCGCACUUCCCGGCGUCGAGCAGCACCGUUGGCGCCCUCAGGGAGGCGCUCACCGCGGGCAUCAACGUGGUCCCCUUCACGUGGGCCGCUUCGCCGGCCGCCGCUGAGCUCGAGAUGGUGGUGGUGGAUUGGCUCGGCAAGGCACUGCACCUUCCGGAGAGCCUCCUCUUCGCCGGAGGCGGAGGGGGCACGAUUCUUGGCACCUCGUGCGAGGCCAUACUCUGCACUCUCGUCGCUGCAAGGGACCGGAAGCUCGCUGAGAUCGGCGAGAGCAGGAUCUGCGACCUCGUCGUCUACUGCUCGGACCAGACCCACUUCGCCUUCCGCAAGGCAGCACGCAUUGCCGGCAUCAAGCGUGACCACUGCCGCGCGAUACACACGUGCCACGGGGACAUGUUCGCGCUGUCGCCCACAGAACUGCAGGCCGCCAUGCAGGCCGACGUGGAUGCCGGGCUUGUGCCCCUGUUCUUGUGCGCCACGAUCGGGACGACCCAGACCACUGCCGUCGACCCCAUCGGCGAGCUCUGCGCCGUGACUGCGCCGCACGGAGUGUGGGUCCACGUGGACGCGGCAUACGCCGGCUCCGCGCUGGUCUGCCCGGAGUUCACCUACGUGAUAGACGGCGUGGAGGCCGUGGACUCGUUCAGCAUGAACGCCCACAAGUGGCUCCUCACCAACAACGACUGCUGCGCCAUGUGGGUGAAGAAGCCGAGCGCACUGGUGGCGGCGCUCGGGACCGAGCAGGAGUACAUCCUCAAGGACGCCGCGUCGGAGGGCCACGACGUGGUGGACUACAAGGACUGGAACAUGACGCUGACACGCCGGUUCCGCGCGCUCAAGAUGUGGCUCGUGCUCCGCUGCUACGGCAUCCAGGGCCUGCGCGACCACAUCCGCUCCCACGUGCGCAUGGCCGAGGCGUUCGAGGAAAUGGUGAGAGCUGACGAGAGGUUUGAGGUUGUGACUGACAGGACGUUCGCGCUGGUGUGCUUCCGGCUUCGCCCGCAGGACAAGUUCGGCGGUGAGAAGACGGCCAACGACCUCAACCGAGGCCUCCUGGAGGAGGUGAACGCGGUCACGUCCGGCCCCUACAUGAGCGCCGCAAACGUAGGCGGUAUGUUCAUGCUAAGGUGUGCCGUGGGGAGCACGCUCACGGAGGAGCACCAUGUCGACGAUGCAUGGAAGGUUGUGCAGGAUCGGGCCUCGGUGAUCCUUCGUAAGAUGGAGAUCAUCUACACCUCUAAGUAA
Molecule: ribosomal RNA, 1593 nt
Filed under: Triticum aestivum (bread wheat)
Lineage: Eukaryota; Viridiplantae; Streptophyta; Magnoliopsida; Poales; Poaceae
Description: partial small subunit ribosomal RNA
Source: RNAcentral